RNAcentral lists this long non-coding RNA (1968 nucleotides) under Anser cygnoides (Swan goose). RNAcentral's name for it is "lncRNA (ENSACDG00005014149.1)". Lineage: Eukaryota; Metazoa; Chordata; Aves; Anseriformes; Anatidae. The record is from RNAcentral.
AUGGUCUCCGCAGUCCUCCCCGCUCCCGCCCCGCCCUCGGCGGAGGCCGCUCUACCCGCCGCGUCUCGACGGCUCCUCCCCUUCUGCGCGCUGAGCAGGGGCCGCUACUUCCGGCGGCGCUCUGCGCUUCCUGUCGCGUCUCGGUGGUUCCGGCGCGAGGGCAGCGGCGGCGGUGAAAGUCACUUUGACGGGAACGGAGGCGGCUGCCAAGGGGGCGGACGCCACCCCCUGCCAGUGGUACUACCGCGUCUACAAGUCCAUCUGCCCCACUUCCUGGGUGAGUGGCCCCGGCGCGGUGACAUCCACCCCACCCCAGGGUGGCCCUUGGGUCCCCUGGGUGGCCUCGGGUCCUCCAGGUGGCCCCUGUGGCCUUUGUGGUGGCCUCACGGCCCUUGGGUGCCCCGGGGUGUUUCCACAUCGUUUCCAUGUCACUUGGGUUCCUUGUUUCUUCCCCGUGGCCAGCAUGGCCUUCAUGGUGGCCCUCGUGGCUCAUGGGUGUCCCGUGGUGGCCUCAUGGCCCCUUGGUGUCCCGGGGUGGCCUCGUGGCCCUUGGGUGCCCCGGGGCGUUUCCACAUCGUUUCGACGUCGCUUGGGUUCCUUGUUUCGCCCUCGUGGCCCUCAAGGUGGCCUUCGUGGCGGCCUCGUGGCCCCUGGGUGGCCCUCGGGUCCCCUGGGGUGGCCUCGUGGGCCUCGGGUCCUCCAGGUGGCCCCUGUGGCCUUCGUGGUGGCCUCGUGGCCCUUGGGUGCCCCGGGGUGUUUCCACAUCGUUUCGAUGUCACUUGGGUUCCUUGUUUCUUCCCCGUGGUCCUCGUGGUGGCCAUCGUGGCCUUCAUGGUGGCCCUUGGGUGCCCCGGGGUGGCCUCGCGGCCCUUGGGUGCCCCGGGGUGUUUCCACGUCACCUCGACGUCGCUUGGGUUCCUCAUUUCUUCCCCGUGGUCCUCGUGGUGGCCACCGUGGCCUUCAUGGUGGCCCUUGGGUGCCCCGGGGUGGCCUCGUGACCCUUGGGUGCCCCGGGGUGUUUCCACAUCGUUUCGGUGUCACUCAAGUCCCGUUUUUCAUCCCCGUGGCCUUCAUGGUGGCCCCAUGUCCAUCAGGUCCCCCGUGGUGGCCUCGUGGUCCUCAUGUCCCACAGGUGGCCCUUGGGUCCCCCGGGGUGGCCUCGUGGCCCUUGGGUGCCCCGGGGUACUUCCAUGUCGUUUCGAUGUCACUUGGGUCCCUGUUUUCUUCCCCGUGGCCCUCGUGGUGGCCACCGUGGCCUUCAUGGUGGCCACUGUGGCCUUCAUGGUGGCCCUUGGGUGCCCUGUGGUGGCCUCGUGGCCCUUUGGUGCCCCGGGGUGGCCUCAUGGCCCUUGGGUGCCCCAUGGUGUUUCCACGUCGUUUGUAUGCCACUUAGGACCCUUGUUACAUCCUGGUGGCCCUUGUGGUGGCCCUCAUGGUGGCCUCAUGGGCCUCGGGUCCCACAGGUGGCCCUUGGGUGACCCGGGGGGGGGGGGUCCUCAGGUCCCCCAGGUGGCCCUUGGGUGCCCCGUGGUGGUUCUACGUCACCUCGAUGUCGCUUGGGUUCCUUGAUUCUUCCUCGUGGUGGCCCUCGUGGCCUUCACGGUGGCCCUCGUGGCCCUUGGGUCCCCCGUGGUGGCCUCGUGGCCCUUGGGUGCCGCGCUUCAUCCCCGUGUCCCCCCGCGGUGUCCCUGUGGUGUCCCCGCGUCCUUCAGGACCUCCGUGGUGUCCCCACGGCCCCCCCCCCCCCUCGGUGUCCCUCUGGUGUCCCCACGUCCUUCAGGUCCCCCGCAACGUCACCGUGGGGUCCCCGGGCCCCCCGUGGUGUCCCCACCAGCACGAGGUCCUCGUGUCCCCCCCGUCCCCCCCCAACGUCCCCAGGGGGCCACCACGUCCCACGUGUCCCCUUUUUGGGGUCACCACGUCCCUUUUUGGGGUCACCACGUCCCUUUGGGGGGUCACCACGUCCCC